Long non-coding RNA from Pipra filicauda (Wire-tailed manakin), 530 nucleotides. RefSeq lists it as uncharacterized. The record is from RefSeq and is a predicted model, not a curated record. Lineage: Eukaryota; Metazoa; Chordata; Aves; Passeriformes; Pipridae. The transcript is spliced from 4 exons.
UGUCAUGAACAAAGCGCAGUCCAAUCUGAAAGCUGUAACACUGCUUUACAAAAAGUGAAGUAAUUAAACCCACUGGAACAAACUGUGCUCGGACCCAGCAUCUUUCCCCUUCUCCACACCAGAUACGUGUUCAGAGAUUGAUCAAGCAAACCAGGAGUUUGAGUUGUAAGGCUGGACUGAAGUUGGAUGAAUAGAGCAUGUUAAGUCCCAGGGAGAGAGGCUGAUGAAAGAGCACACAAAAAGGGUCAGUGUCCACUGUAUGGCCCAGGCUAGUAUAAAAGUACCAAGAAGCACUGCAUGUGUAUCUCCUGACAAGAGUUUUGUGUGUAGAGCUACAGCAGUCUCCACUGUCACAGGAGAGAGAUGGAGAGAGAAGGAAUCUGAAUUUCUGGCAAGAGAAAGAAUCCCAAAACUUAGGAGCACUGCUGAAAACUGCUCAUGAAAAUUUUAAGAUCAAUUUUCAACAAGCAGUGGUAAUUUCUUUCAUUAAAUACUGUUCUAUAUCCUUCAUAAAAAAAGCCAAACAAUGA